UAGGGAAUCUUCCGCAAUGGGCGAAAGCCUGACGGAGCAACGCCGCGUGAGUGAUGAAGGUCUUCGGAUCGUAAAACUCUGUUAUUAGGGAAGAACAAAUGUGUAAGUAACUAUGCACGUCUUGACGGUACCUAAUCAGAAAGCCACGGCUAACUACGUGCCAGCAGCCGCGGUAAUACGUAGGUGGCAAGCGUUAUCCGGAAUUAUUGGGCGUAAAGAGCGCGUAGGCGGUUUUUUAAGUCUGAUGUGAAAGCCCACGGCUCAACCGUGGCGGGUCAUUGAAAGCUAGAAAACUUGAGUGCAGAAGAGGAAAGUGGAAUUCCAGGUGUAGCGGUGAAAUACGCAGAGAUAUGGAGGAACACCAGUGGCGAAGGCGACUUUCUGGUCUGUAACUGACGAUGAUGUGCGAAAGCGUGGGGAUCAAACAGG
Molecule: ribosomal RNA, 429 nt
Filed under: Actinomycetes bacterium
Lineage: Bacteria; Bacillati; Actinomycetota; Actinomycetes
Description: Actinobacteria bacterium partial 16S ribosomal RNA
Rfam family: Bacterial small subunit ribosomal RNA
Source: RNAcentral